This 1004-nucleotide long non-coding RNA is filed under the name Homo sapiens (human). RNAcentral describes it as "HSALNT0334624". Lineage: Eukaryota; Metazoa; Chordata; Mammalia; Primates; Hominidae. The record is from RNAcentral.
AAAUUAUUUCCAAGAUAAAACUCCAAACACAUCAUGAAACUAUAUGACUAAGGGAGAAAAAAGACAUUUUCAGAUAAGCAAGAUCUCAAAUAAUUUGCCUCCCAUGCAACCUUUCUUGUGAAACUACUUGAGGAUGUGCUCCAUCAAAACAAGAUAGUAAACCAAGACAUAGGAAGAUAUGAAGUACAGGAAACAGAGUCAACACAGGAAGGAGAAUAAGGAAUUUCCCUCCAGGAUGGCAAAGGAGAUCCCAGGGUGAUAGCUGCACCAGGAGUUGAGAGUACCCAGUCUAGAUUGGAGCUGUGUGAUUCAAGAGACAGACAUGUUAAAGGAUGUUUGAGCAAUACCCCUGAAGCCAUGGAAUGGUUUUGUGAAUCUGAGGACAGAAUGGCCAGGUUGCAUGGUUGGAAGGCCAUGUCUGCAGGCUUCUUCCAGGCUACCAGCCAGAAAGUCUGAACUAAUUUCCUGGAGGGAAAACAAAGGCCCCACCUUGAACAAAUCCCAAGGCCAAGGGAAAUCCUUGCUUCCCACAUUUCUACAGCUGCCCCACCUCCAAGUGUGGCUCAUACCCCCACCUGUGAACCCAGUACACCCGGCUGGAUUUCACGGUGGGAGGAUGGCCUUUUUCCCUGAGUAUCAAUGUUUUGGGCUCUGAAAGAUUCUCAAAGUGUCCACCAAGAAGCCCUGUCUUAUAGACCUACUGCAGGCCUGCUCUGGAUAAACUUGUGAAUGAGAUGAAAUCCAGCUUCUUUUGGCCCAUUCAGUGAUCCUUUUCCCCAGCAUUUUGUCAACUGGCUGUUGACUGCAGUUUACCUUGCUAACUGAGACCAUAUUUCCAAAGGGAAAGUACAUUAAGACAUGAGGGAUCUGUGGAGCUUGGGUACAGUGGCUUAUGCUUGUAAUCCCAGCACUUUGGGAGGCCAAGGCAGGAGGAUCGCUUGAGGCCAGAAGUUUGAGACCAGCCUAGGCAAUAUAGGGAGACCCCAUCUCUACAAAAAAUAAAA